Molecule: microRNA precursor, 57 nt
Filed under: Tribolium castaneum (red flour beetle)
Lineage: Eukaryota; Metazoa; Arthropoda; Insecta; Coleoptera; Tenebrionidae
Description: Tca-Mir-133_pre stem-loop
Rfam family: mir-133 microRNA precursor family
About the family: mir-133 was first experimentally characterised in mouse and homologues have since been discovered in several other species.
Source: RNAcentral
AGCUGGUUGAAUCCGGGUCAAAUUGUAAAUGCUAUUUGGUCCCCUUCAACCAGCUGU